UGAUGAAAAGUUCAUGAAUUAAUUGGGUGAGAACUACAACGAACGGAGCCACUCUACGUUCUUCAAAGGAGAGACAAACAUUAACAAAAGAAAAAAGAAACGAAAACCGAACAAGUGUGAAGCACACACCCAACUGCGAGCUCGACAACUUCCCUGCAACUGAGACGCCGAGGGGCUAAAGCUCCCUUCGUUGCAAACAAGAAAUUAAAACAAACCACUAAAAAAGUUGUCCAAGAAGAGGCUCCAAAGUUCCCUAAAACCCAAAAAGUUCAAGAACUAAAUGCGAAAACGCUUCAUUUGUUCAUGCCGGUGGCGUUCUUGACUGCAUCGGCAGCUCCCUGUGCCUUGGCCUGCAUGUUCUGGCCAGCAUCCUGCAUUGUUUCCUUGGCAGACUGGGCGGCAUUGUUAGCCUUGUCCAUCAUUCCACUGGCCUUCUCCUGUCAAAUCCCAAAUCAUCCAAUACAACACAAACACCUCAAUCUCAAUGCACAAUCAAUAUUAAAGCAAAAGAAAACGUAAAGAUGUUAUUGACGCUCCAAAAUAGUCGAUCAUGCACUAGAAUCAUAAGAACAAAGAAGAAACGAGUGCAGUAUACAUGACUAUUUUAAAACUCUCGGAACAUUUCAAAACAAAAAAUGGAGAUGAGUGAGGGUUACCUGAGCUUGGCCCUUGGCCUCUCCAGCUUGGUAGCUCAUCUUCUGGGAGUUGUCAGCCAUUUUCUUCUUGUUGGAAAUUGGAGAAAAAGAGCACUUUGAAAUCGAUUGAAGUUCUUAGAGAUGGUAGUUGAUUUGCUUGAUGAUGAAAUACUCACAGUCGGAUAGGUUUAUAUAGGGUUUUGGACCACCUGAAUGCUCGACACGUGUGAUGCCACGCGUAAGUCACUCGCGGACUUCCUCUGAGUUAUUGUUCUGGGGACCAACCACGUGUCGCGUUGUUACUUGGGGUGGGCCUUUUGACCAGGAAGCUGUUUUUUUCCGGUGGUAGUUGCUAACUUCCUGUUCUUAGGGCUUUGACAGUUUCAUCCCGAAGGGAUCAAUAUACCACUAUACAUAUAUAUAUAUAUAUAUAUAUAUUUUUUUUUUUUUUCAACAAAGAAAAUAGUGGUAUUGAUAUAUUAUUUUGAUAAUAAUUUCAUCAAUGGGAGAUUGAAAAACCAGACUUCAUUUUAUCAACACACCUCUUUUAUUACAAAAAUUCACCAUUAUCUCUUAGUACAUUACUUGUGUAAUUGUCACAUGAUGCAUAAUUGUCAAUAAAAUCGCGUCACAACCCAUCAAAUAUUAAUACUUAUAGGGUGCGUUUGUUGCACCGGACUAUCUCGGACUGAACUAGAUUCAAGGACUAAGCUGGACUGGCUUAGACUAGACUAAGCUGGACUAACUUAGUGAAGCGUUUAGUGCAGUGUCGAAUUAAGAAGCAGGAUAAUGAAAAUAGUACUAUCACCAGUUUGGUGUUUGCUCGGACUGAGACUAAAUUAUUAUUCUAAUUUAAUUUCUUUUUAUUUAAAGAUAUUAUCAAAAUUAAUAAUAUUAGAUGAGAGUAUGACUCAAUAAAAAAUUAAAAAAAACCAAAUUUCUUGCCAACGAAAGAAACAUACAUGAUUCAAAAGUAGUAUUGCUCCAAACAUCAAUAUAACAAAGGUGUUUUCCUAACAAUUGACGGGUUUUAGAAUGCUUUUCUUAAUUAUUCAGCUUUGGGUUGAUUGCAUUUAAUCCCAAUACCACAAUGAUGUGUGAGGCGCAUUGGCAAAUGGAUAGCCGAGCCUUGAUCAUUGCUACAUUUGGAUUUGAGCACGUAAAUUGCUUGCUCCAACUAGUUUGAAAACCAAUAACAAUAUGCAAAAGGAAGAGAUCAUGAAUAUACCUCGAGCAAAGUACACAACGUUUGGAGCAAAGGAUUGUCAAAAGUGAAGCAACAAGUUUUAGCUGAGGGAACGUAAAUUUAAAUGUUAUGAUACAGACAAAAUUUUGUUAUUCUAACUAAUUUACUGACUAGACUAAAACACAAGUUUGUUUAGGCUACACGAAUACAAUAGUACUCCUGCACUACAGUUCCUCUGAGUCAACUCCUUACAUGAACAUACAGUUACAAACAAUCAAAAUCAAUUGAAUCAAUACCAUGCCUUUUGUUGCUCUAGCAAGCAAGUUGGUGCCUGCACAUGUAACAACUUGCUGCAUCAAAACUGCCAUAUAUGACUCUACUACGAUGGCUGAAUCUGAUCUCACCGAAAGCAGACCAAAGAUGUAAGCAAGAAAGCAGACCAAAGAUGUAAGCAAGCCGCACCUUAUGGCAUCCAUCAAUUGCAGGGUAUACAAUAUAUGAAACAGCUUUGAUGGUUUCCACAGCAUAGCCAACUAUUUCACUUUUAAAUUCCGAAAUUUCACAAGUAAUAUCAUCAUUGGUCCAAACCUCAGAAACAAGGACAGAACUCAAAUAACACAAAAAGACCUGCAAGGAAACAAUAGAUCACUAUCACUCAAUGGGGGAAAAAGCCAUCUCUAUGUUAUAGAAUUCAGAGAUGUAAGCCUACAAAGCUGCCUACCUGUGAACGGUUCAAGCUGUAUUCAUCAACUAAUGUUAAAACAUCCUUCAAAAUGUGCUUCUUCUCUAACUUGACUGAAUCAAUCAAGGGACGCACAACACUCUUAAUAUAAUUAAAGUCCUGAGACAAAAAGCGUACUGUGUCAACACCAGGGAUUAUUUUCUCUAAUGAUGUACAACGAUCUGCAACACGCUUUUGGUCUUCUAAUUUUAAUUUCCAUUCCCUCCAAAAGGUAGACUGCACCUUGUCAAAUUUGCCUAUUUCACCUGAAUCCAAUAAAACAACAUACAAAACCAUGAACUCCUUAUCAUUGUAAAAAUGUACAUGCAUCAAUAAUAUUACUCUAUUUUCACAUUUCCACUGCUUGGAGCUUUAACAUGAUAGCAUAGCAAAUUGUAAAUAAGUGUAGCAGAUUACCUAUGUGUUUUUCUUUAAACUUCCUUAGUAGAAGCUCCCUCCUUUGUGUAGGAUCUUCACACUCAAAUGCUGAACUAUACAACAAGCUAUAUGUCAUCCCCACAUUCAUGAUGCUAGAAACUUCUUGGUAAUCCUUCCUUGUUCUAAGCUGCUCAUCUAUCACUUCAACCCCACUCACAGCAUCUAACAUAUUCAACAGAAAUGAGCAACCCAUUAUGUCUUCCUCUUUGGUAACAGGUGGUUCAAUUAUUGAUUUUGCCAGAGACGCAAUCACAUUGUCGGUAGGAGCAAAACCAUUUCUCGCCAACCAGGACAGAAUGGUCACUAGAGCCUGUGUUCUUACACUGACAUAUUGCUUUCCAGGAAUCAAGUUACCACUUGACUUCUUACUGUGUUCUCUAUUCCUACUUAGCUCAAGCAACCAUGGAAGUUGCAGGGCAGAAAAUGUCAAAAAAUUUCCAUUUUCUCUCAAAAUAGAUUCCCAGUUCGUAUAAAUACGAUUACAAAUAAAGUACCAAUUCGCAAAUCACAAACUUUCGCAUAUAUAAGAAAAUAUCAGCAAAUGGUCAGACUUACAUAGUCGUUUAGCUGGCGAGCAGCAGAUUCAACUUCUUGAACACUUGACAUAGCCACAAACCCAAAUCCUCUACUUCUUGCAAUCGUCUUAUCAUAUAUCACCUGCUAAAAACCCUCCAAAUUUAACCCACAAAACACUAAACCAGCAACAACCGAUUUCACUUUUCACCUAAAUUUCAAGUAAAAUUUACAAAAUUUCGAGUGAAAACAAGGAAUUACCUUGACCAUCUGAACAUUUCCAACGCUCUUGAAGAUACCAGCAAGCUGAGCGCUAUCGACGCUGAAGGGAAGGUUACCCACGAAGAGUUUGAGGUCAGAGGAGGCGUCUCCGUCAUCGCUGAGAACCUCCUCAUCCUGCUCGAACUCGGAUGAGACGGCGAAGUCGUGAAGGAGAUGGGAGAUGGCAAAGGUGCGAAGGAGAAGAAGACGGAUGGAUCAGCUGCGAGGGAGGACGGGACUAGGAGUCCACUCGAAAUCGAGGGCUCUCGCUAAGAACGGUUAGCGAGGCGUUCAGUCGGGGCGAGUCCCUUUAGUCUCAUUAACGCUUGUCCGUGUAAAUAACAAACACCAGACUAGACUAUCAUUUAGUCUAGUCCAGUCCAAGAAAUGCUAGUGAAGGCAAACAAACAUACCCAUAAUUUCUAAUGUCCUGAGUUUCCAAUUCAUAGAAACACAAGCUAAGGUUCUCUAAAACUUAAACGAGAACGUUUCAAUUUUCAAACAAAUACAUGAAUGUGUAAUCAAAACACGAAUUACAUAAAGCACAUAACUCAAUAUGAAUGAAACAGAAUACAACACUUAUCACCCUUUCGUCGCUUGAUUGCCGUUAAAUAUAACCGUUAAAUAGGCAAAUCAGUUGCUCAAACCCGCACUGCACUAUCAAUUCCUUCAUUCAUUUUUCUUGUAUUUAACUGUAGAAGUUUUGAACCAAACCUCCAUGGACAUGUACAGAAGCUUCUAGGGUUUUGUAUCUUCACUUCAUUAUUAUUUCUUUUUGUGGGUUUUCGUUUCUUCCUCCUCCAUCUUUUGUCUGUUCACUGUUUUGCCCUUGGUGUUUUAUUUAAUUUUUAAUUCUUUGUCAUCUUUUUGUCUAUGUCAUUUAUCUAUGUUAUAGUGCCUAUAUACAAUGAUCUUAUCCACUUCUAUAUUGGAAAAUUUGGCCAUUUAUAUUUUUCAUUUUAUGAACUGACAUAGCUUGUAUUGUUAAGGAUCCAAAAUUGACUAUUAUAAGCAAAAUACCACUGCCUUUUAGCAACACUUUAAUUAUUUUAAUUAUCUUAAUAUCAUGAAAUAAUAUAAAAGUAAGGAUUAAAAUAAAAGUUAAAGAUGAAGAUAUAAUUUUAAAAAACCAUCACAUAAUGAUGAAAAGUUCAUGAAUUAACUGGGUGAGAACUACAACGAACGGAGCCACUCUACGUUCUUCAAAGGAGAGGCAAACAUUAACAAAAGAAAAAAGAAACGAAAACCGAACAAGUGCGAAGCACACACCCAACUGAGAGCUCGACAACUUCCAAGCAACUGAGACGCCGAGGGGCUAAAGCUCCCUUUGUUGCAAACAAGAAAUUAAAACAAAUCACUAAAAAAGCUGUCUAAGGAGAGGCUCCAAAGUUCCCUAAAACCCAAAAAGUUCAAGAACUAAAUGCGAAAACACUUCAUUUGUUCAUGCCGGUGGCGUUCUUGACUGCAUCGGCAGCUCCCUGUGCCUUGGCCUGCAUGUUCUGGCCAGCAUCCUGCAUUGUUUCCUUGGCAGAUUGGGCGGCAUUGUUAGCCUUGUCCAUCAUUCCACUGGCCUUCUCCUGUCAAAUCCCAAAUCAUCCAAUACAACACACACACCUCAAUCUCAAUGCACAAUCAAUAUUAAAGCAAAAGAAAGCAUAACGAAAAACUGUUAUUGACGCUCCAAAAUAGUCGAUCAUGCACUAGAAUCAUAAGAACAAAGAAAAAACGAGUGCAAUAUACAUGACUAUUUUAAAACGCUCGGAACAUUUCAAAACGAAAAAUGGACAUGAGUGAGGGUUACCUGAGCUUGGCCCUUGGCCUCUCCAGCUUGGUAGCUCAUCUUCUGGGAGUUGUCAGCCAUUUUCUUCUAGUUGGAAAUUGGAGAAAAAGAACACUUUGAAAUCGAUUGAAGUUCUUAAAGAUGGUAGUUGAUUCGCUUGAUGAUGAAAUACUCGCGGUCGGAUAUGUUUAUAUAGGGUUUUGGACCACCUGAAUGCUCGACACGUGUGAUGCCACGCGUAAGUCACUCGCGGACUUCCUCUGAGUCAUUGUUUUGGGGACCAACCACGUGUCGCAUUAUUACUGAGGGUGGGCCUUUUGACCAGGAAGCUGUUUAUCUCCAGUGGUAGUUGCUAACUUCCUGUUCUUAAGGCUUUGACAGUUUCAUCCCAAAGGGAUCAAUAUACCACUAUAUAUAUAUUUUUUUCAAAAAAGAAAAUAGUGGUAUUGAUAUAUUAUUUUGAUAAUAAUUUCAUCAAUGGGAGAUUGAAAAACCAGACCUCAGUUUAUCAACACACCUCUUUCAUUCCAAAAAUUCAGCAUUGUCUCUUAGUACAUCACUCGUGUAAUUGUCAUGUGAUGCAUAAUUAUCAAUAAAAUCACGUCAAAACCCAUCAAAUAUUAAUACUUAUAGUUUCAAAUUGUCCUGAGUUUCCAAUUCAUAGAAACACAAGCUAAGGCUCUCUAAAACUUAAAUGAGAACAUUUCAAUUUUCAAACAAAUACAUGAAUGUCUAAUCAAAACACGAAUUACAUAAAAUUAUGUUACACGAAUACAUCUUUAAAAAAAUCCUUCAACAUGAAUGAUCGUGUCACUUCACUUAAGAAUCUAAAGAUGCAAAAAUAUCGCACUCGACCCAUGUAUAGUGGCCCAGUCGGCCCAUCCACCCCCUCAUGAAAUGAAGCUUGAAAAACUUUUGGAAAAUAGAAAAUAAAGGGGAAGGGAGUAAACUUCAAAAAUAUUACGGGAGUCCCUGAUAUUUUCAAAAUUUACACUACAAGCACGUUAAAUUUAUCAAUUUAUAUUCCCGCCACACCCACCAGAAAAAAGCCACCCUAAGGGUCCAGAGGGCCGAAAAUAGCUCGAAAACCAUCUCCAACCGAGGACCAGGCUAAAGAGCUCGUGGAUCCCACUGGACAAAAAAAGGUCAAGGGGCCAACUGGCUGGCCAUUUUCAACCAGCCAGCCAACCCGCUGGCUAGCCCAAUUUCAUUUUUUUUUUCCAUUUGCCCAGUCCACAUUAAGGUUUAGGGCUUAGGUUUUUUUUUGUCCCAGCCCAUUUUUUGUUUUUUUUAUGCCCAGUCCACUUUUUUAUUUUUUUUAUUUGACGUUUUUUUUUUAAUUUCUAAUUUUUUUCCUACAUCAUUUCUCACAUAUUUUUCACAAUUUCAUACUAUCUUAUCUUAUUUCAAUUCUUUACAUUCCAUACUAUAGCCAUUUAGCUCUCGGUUUGAUACGGUUUUUUGUGACAAUGCUAAAACGAACCCUAUAACCUGGGUUGUAGAUGAUAAAAAAUAUAACACUACAUUGUUCAUUAACAUAUUAAUUUCUUAGAGCAUCAAAAGGCUCGUUUGGGUCUCUGACCAGUCUUUGGCGAUGGCCUAAGCCCAAAUCGUAGCCAGACACAAAGCCCUCAAGGCUCAACCCACGGCUGCAGCAGCCUCCUUCUCCCUCUUCAUUCCAUACGUGCAAUCACCUCAGCUCCAAAGUUUUCAACUUUCUGUAUAUUUUUGUUCGUUCUUCUCCGCCCAAAAAACCCUUUUCUUCUUCUUCUGCUUCUGCAUUAGUUUCCAGCAGAUUUACAGAUAAGAAGAGAGGAGUCUGAGGAGUAGGAAAGUCGGGUACUUGAGAUAAUUGGGAACCGGGUUCGUUACAACCCGAAACGAGCACGGCUUUCUAAUCUGCACACUCUGAGUCAAUGAAAAAGAUGGGAACGAAGGACAAGAAGAAGAUCCAUAAGAACAAGAAGGUUGCCCAGCCAACUUUGGAGCUUGUUGCAAAGGGUUUGUCACUUCUCAUAUGAUCAAAAAAGUUAUAUUUUUCUCUUACCGUUUUAGUUUGCUUCUAACUUGGGUUUUUGAAUUUUUUUGUGUUGAAAUUGGAAUUAAGUUUCUGGGUGGUUUGAACCUAAAAACUAAUUGUUGAGGAAAUUUGAUUUAGAUGAUGAAUAAUAUGAUAUAAAAUAGAUGCUAUAUACUUUGGGAAAUUGAAGAACUAUGCAUUUAAAAUGUAGUGGAUGUAUAUAUAAUUGUUCAAUGUUCAUCAUCAUGGAGGCAAAAACCUAUUUGAUAAUUGGAUUUGGCAGUAUUUGGCUCCCUGUAUCUGUAUUGAUACGGCGAAGAGUUUUACCAAGUUGUGAUUUUGUAGUUUUUAUCUGUUUCCAGAUAAAAAAUUAGGAUCUGCAGAGAUUAGAAAGAGAAAAAGGGCAAAGGAAAGCGAUGCUGAUUCUCGAAAGGUUGUUCAUGUCUCUAUUGAAGGUACAUUGGAUUUAUGUUUCUCAUGUGUUAAGUACAUUGUUAGGGGUAUAGAUUUGGAUUGAACUCAAUGUUCUCCGUUUGCUUUUGUUGUUUCAGUAGAUAAUUCAGCCAAACCAGCCAAGGAUAAGAAAAAGGCAAAACUAACGAAUAAAAGGAAAAUAAAGAAUGCGAAGAACUAUGAAGCUAUGGAAGGCAAGAAUGAUCAUCCAAAUACAGACACUGAUGACGAUUUUCAUGAAAUAAAUGGUAAGUUGCUUCUAGUUGGGUAGCAUUAUACUGUAAUAGUUUUCAGGGGAACCACAGUUAUUGUGUAAUUUGUUAACGGUGUCCUUGGGCGGGGGGUGUGAAUGUUGAAAAUUUACAAAUUUCCAAAAUCUUUGCCUGUCUGUGUUUUGUUUUGCUUUAUAUGUAAGUCGGAGUUGUUUUCUAGUUUUCUUUUUCUCUAACCUAAGGUCUCUGCUUCCAAUUUUCUUUCUCAAGCUGUAUGGAAAUGCACGUAUGCUUUUGAAGUGUCGACCAUAGAAUCCUUUCUUGCUUUUAACUUAAUUAAGAUAAUUUUCUUUCUAUUAGAUGAUGGAGUUGCCGAUCAGAGCCCAUUUGAAACUCAGGAAGAGAUUGAAAUUGGUGAAGUGCUCACUGAGGCUGGUAAGGAACCAAAAUUGGAAAUUAUGAAUAAGUGGCAGCUUUUGUUUGAUCUGAGCAGAGUCAUUGGAUGAUAUUUUUAUUGCAAUUACUUAUAAGGUCAAGUGCUCAUUGAGGUUCUCUCUUUAUUGUAGGUAAGUCAAAGAAAGCUAAGAAAAAGAAAAAGAAGGAUCGUAAUUCAUUGGAGUUUGUGAAGUCCCUUGACGAGGAAGUAGCUGGUCAGGAGAAGAGCUCAAAAGGGAUAUCAGGUAUGAUUCUUGAAUUUGAAACAUUGCUUUGUAUCCAAGUUAUCACUAUUUCAUUGCAAUCAGUACUUUUCUACUUUUAGUAAUGAUAAAUUGUCGAUGAAGGUGUACCCAAGAAAGCUUCAAGAAAGAAAAAGAAGGAUCUUGAUUCGUCAAAGUCUAAGAAGACACUGGAAAGGGAAGUAGAAGCUGAUCAGGCUGAUGUUUACCUUAUUUCUUCUGGGGAUGAGGACUCUUCGAAAGGAAUGAAAAGUAUGAAUUACUGAAUUCAAACUACUCGUUGGUAUAUAUUUUCAUAUUCUAAAGCCAACAAACCUAUUCAUAAGUGAAUACCUAUGGAUGAUAAGCUUCAAAUUAUUUGAUUUUACAAAAUUCAACAUAUGUGAUAUUAAUUUCCCUUUUUUAUACUGUACUCCUCUUAUUGAGAAUUUCUGAAUCCUCAGAAUGGAUUAUGGAAUACCAUCAAAGUAGACCUGGGUUGAAGGUACUGCAGCAAAGAAUUGAUCAGUUUAUGGUUGAACAUGAUGAAAAACUGGAACAGGUAAUUUUCCUCUUCCAUGCUACAAAUACCAUACAACUGGAGUAUUCAAACCAGCCGUUUGGACCUUCGCUCUUUAUAACACUGUUCAUACUGUCUUGAGUGACGUAUUUGCACAUGCUUGAAGGUCUAUAAAAAACGGUUUUGUGUAUGUUGAGCGAUCUAUAAACACAUAUGGUAUUAGCUGAUGGGCUUGCUCUAUUGUUUUUCCUUGUUUUGAAUUUUGGCCCGCAUACUUAUUUCUUCAUGGAAGUAUGCUACAUAUUCCUGCCUCUGAUCUCUCUUCACAUAUGCCCAUGUAAUGUGGGAAUGUAUAAUCUAUAUUUUAUUGGUAUUGUGUGGUUCGUGUAUGUCCAUCUGUUUAUAUUCACUGUGCGUAACUUUCCAGUUGAUCAAAUGUGUACUAGUUCACAUAUAUGCGUGGCACAUGCAGGAAAAGAAAGAGAAAGAAGCCCGUGCUGCAGACGGAGGAUGGACAGUUGUUGUACAUCAUAAAGGAAGGAAGAAGACCACGGAUUCUGAGAGUGGAAUUACAGUAGGAUCUGUUGCCCAGGCUGCUUUGGAGGACAAGGUGGCCAAGAAGAAGCGCACAGAAGUUGUUGGGCUAGAUUUUUACCGGUUCCAAAGGAAAGAAGCUCAGAGAAACGGUAUGUUAAUCUUACAUAUAAAGUUAAUCUUGUGUUAACCUGAAAAACCACACGACAUAGAUGAAAAUGUUGCAUAUGCUGAAAAGCACUCCCAUUAUGAGCAUGCAGUGGCAUAUUGCAUAUGCUUAUGUUGUCAGUUUCCGAUGAAUUUUAUUUUCAUAUGUUACACAUGAAAUAGUCUUGUUGUUUAAAGUUGUGCAAAUACAGCAAAGCGCUAAUAGGAUAUGUCCCUGCAGAAAUUAUGAUGCUCCAGAGCAAAUUUGAGCAAGCUAAAAAGCGGAUACAGCAGUUAAGAGCGGCUAGGAAGUUUCGACCUUACUGAACGCCUGAAAGUUUGUCCGAAGAAAAGCCAGGAAUCAAUUGUUCUUGUUCAUAAUGUUGAGACAUGAGUAGUACAAUGCAUGUUGCAUAACAGUAUUGCGCCCCGUAUUUAUUUUUCCGUUUGUUUCAUCAAACGUAAUUGAUAUCCAUGGCGAUUCUUUUUCUACCAGAGAAUGCACAUUCUUCAUACAUUAAGCUACGGAUUGUCGAAUGGCAACGAUAUAUUCGCUAUUUUUGGACAAAUUGGCCUCUGCUUCCUUUUCUGUCUUCCUUAAUGCCUUUUGGCUUUUUCCUUUUAGAUCAAAUUUGGCGUUCCGUGUAGGGGUGGGCAAACGGGCCUUGGGCCCGCGAGUAGGGGCGGGUACAGGGCGGGUCCUAAUUUUAAAAAAGAGAAACGGGGUGGGGCGGGGCGGGCCUGUGAAAUUUUAGGUUCGGACCGAUUCCAAAAGUAUAGAAAAACGAGUACCCAGACCGGCCCGUUUACAAAAAUAUCAUGUGUUAGGUACCAUUAUUGUCUCCCAGGCCCACUUCUUUUUUGUUCUUCCCCGUGGGCCGUGACAGUUCUCACUCGAGAACACUCCACACACACACCUCACCCACUUCCCCGUGUUUCCCCCUCUCCCAAUCUCUCAAACCUUCUCCCUCAUCCCUCUUCUUUGUUUCUUCUCCCCCCAUCUCUGCAACUCUCAUUCCCGGAGCACCCCACCGAUAAAUGAUAUGCUACCGCCGCCUCACAAAUUCUUCCCCUGACGAAUGAUGCAUGGAUUGGCUCUUCUGCCUCUAACUUCUCCACACACCCUCUAUUUCUUCAAGUAGAUGGACCGGGAGGUUAUGGAUCUGAGAUACAAGAGCUGGUUGAACGUGGUGAAGAUCUUGAUCUCCACACUCUUCAAUGGCGAGCAAAUCCUCUGCGACCACGUGUUCUCAUCCCCUGCCUCGAUCUGCGAGUCCUGCUUCACGGACAUUUCACGCGAGGCGGCGACUUUGCUCUUCGGCUUCUCGCAAGUUCUGGUUGGUGGUGAAGAGUAAGAAGAACUCUCUCGACAUCUUCCGCCUCCUCGACAUGUACACUACGAUCUUCGAGAACUAGCCGGAGAUCGAAUCCAUCUUCGGCUUUGAAUCCACGGCUGCCGUUCGUUCUCAGGCGCUCAACUUGCUCAUCAAACGCAACGAAUCAGUGCUAUCUGUGUUCUCCGAUUUCGAGUCCAUGGUCCAGAAAGACUCGUCGAAAUUCGACUAGGAAUCUGGGUUCUGGAUAUUGAAAAUUAGAAGAGAAAAAAAAAAAAAAAAACAGGGUACCCAUUGGACCCGUAGGAACCGGCCCGUUUUAUACGGGUCAGGUUAGGUCCGAUUCUCAGUUUGAAAAUAGUAAAACCCGCUCCGCCCCUGCCCGUUGUAUUUUCAAGCGGGUCCGGUCCGGUCCCUUCAAUUUUGGGCCGGCCCGGCCCGUGUCCACCCCUUGUUCCUUGGAUUUGUACAAAUCGAAUGCCCAAUGCCCAACAAAUUUCUACCCAAAACAAGAAGCUUAGAAGCGAGGAUGCUUCCUUGAGGAAGAGAUAAUUAGUCCUCACCCGUUUAUAUUCGUUUGUUUUUCAUGUUAUGUUUAUCUUCGUUUCGUGUUCAUGUUGUGUUUAUCUUCGUUUCAUGUUCAUGUCAACCCAAAGAUCGUACGUUUUUAAUAGUAGGUCUAAUAUUCAUGUCCCGAAGAUCGUCUGUUUUUGAGACCUAAGUCAUUUUCGAGACGUGAAUAAAUUAAAUUUACUGUCACCGUAGCGUCACAGAUUAUUAAUAUGACAUGAUUCACAUAUGAACAUGUGAUGAUGAUCCUUUGAUUCUUUUCUAAUUGGAAGAACAAGAGGUACUAAACCAAUACUUAAUAAAUAGCAUAAUCCGUAGUCAGAACACAGAAAUUAUGUAGAUAACAAUAACAUUCAUCUUAUAGAGAGAAAAAAAGGUAGAUCACCAAAGACUCCUGCAUCCAGGAAGUCUGAGAACGACGACGGAUCUCGGCUGCCACCCGAGAUCCGGUUUAUUGACAAUAUCAAAAACUAAAACAGCAGCGACACAGCAAGCUGCAUAUCAUAAUACUAAUACCCUACUAUAAUUGCAACAUAACCCCCUAGUCACAUUUGUUUUUUCUUUUAUUUAUUACUACUAAAAACACGAACAAUAGAACGCUAGAUCUCGGCCAGAUCUAUCUCUUCAACUUCCUCGUCCUUCUCGUCCUCGCUCCAGCAGCACUUCAGAAUCGACCUUGGAGACUGCGAACCAGAAUCAUCCUUGACAAAGCUGUGGUAGAUGAUUGCACCACCCAGGCCUAGACCCUCAUAGCUGCUUCCUCCGCAGCAGUAUCCCCUUAAGUCCAGAGGGCACUUAGCAUCAAGAUCUUCGCCUGCGGUGCUGGUGGUGUGCAAGGCUACAGAGAACUCAGCUGGUUUGAAGCAAUCCAGAACCCUGUAAAGCAGCAGGGUCAAGUUCACAUCAUUGAAAUUAUAUCCCACUGUUUCAAAGCUAGCGUAGCUGAAACCGUCUUCUGGUGUCACGUGGAUCGUAGAAACUGCAUUCCCUUCAAUUGAGUUCAUGGAGUAACCGCAAGGUUCGAACUCAAAGUCGCAUAUAUCAGAUUGUGGGAGGACCUUCCUGAUGCCAGAUUCUUCGGUCAUACCAGCAGCUGAACUUGCAUCGGAUUUGUAAAACACAGAAGCCCUCUUCCUGUCUAGACCGGUCAUGCACAUCUCCAGUGUGUAGGUCGGGCCUGUUUGGCGUGAACCCCACAAUAAGCUUGCCAGCUCCGCCGAUGCAGAGUAAAUAUGCCAUUUCUGAGUUUUGUCAGGGCUUCCCAUAACAUAUGCCUUGCUUGCCAAACCAAGCUUGCUAAAAUGGCCGUCAAGUACAGCUACUUCCUCGGAAAAGCUACGAUGAGGAGAGGGCUGAGCACCAGGAAAGAUAAAGCUCCCACGAGAGUACCUCACAGAUUUUACAGCUAGAGAGAGGGUAUCAGCCAACUUGAGGAUGGCAGGGAUUGAUCGAAGCAAUUUCGUUGUGCCACAGGUUUUGAUGAUCACUUUGUAAGGGUACACAAACAGGCUUGACUCGGAUAGGACGUAAGAGUCGAGAUCAUCAUUUGACAGUGAAGAAACAAUGGUGCACUCAGCUGGUGUCAGAAUCUCAUCUAUUUUGAGCUUUCGAUAGAGAACGAAGACCCAUGCCUUUAGGGUCAGCGAACAGUCCAGGCUCGAAGAAAGAGACCUCGAGCCUCUUUUCAUACCCUUCGAAUCCAAUUGCAGAGACCGGUACAGCCAUCUCGAUUUAAGUAAGAAAAUGAGGUGCAGCAGCAGAUGAAAUGACAAGCGAGGGAACGAGAGAGCGAGAGAAGUAGGGAAAAUAAAUAGACUAGAAUAACUAGAGUAAGAUUGCUGUAUUAAUGAUCGCACGGGGUUAUGUUGGGACUUAACACAAGUCAGGAUGGCUUUCGAACGCACUGCACAUAGAACAAUACAAUAUAAUUUUAGAAGGAAGUCCAUACAAAACAAUCGAGGAAUUACAAGCACCAUGAAACAAACAGUAAAACUUACGUUAGAGUAAGCAGCUGAUCUGAAUUUCUUGAUUCCACCGUGAGGCCUGACGUCUUCAAUGCUGUAACCGAGGGGAGCUUCGUAGAAUGAUGAUUUACUACUACUAGAAUCCUUUUUGCCACCUUUUUGACUCCAUUAGCUCAUUCAGUUAUUUUCCUGCAGAAAGGAUUAACCAAAAAGGGAUCAAAAUCACAAGUAAUAGCCAUACAAAUCCAGGUUAAAGGAGAAAUCUACGCAAAUUAAGUGAGAAUCCAACUGCUUAUACCAAUAAAGAACAAUUAGCAUAGACCAACUCUAAUAUACCAAAUCUGCUAGGAAAUUAAAUAAAAUCAUACAUCCAAGCACGAAACAGUGCUAUAAUUAUGUACACAAAACAAAUCAGUGUUUAAAAAAUUACAAUCAAACCAGCAUUGUAAUUUACCGAACAGGGAUAUGGGGUUUAUGCAAAGCCGAAAAAUUAUAGUAAGGCGGCAAGGAUCCCUCAGUGGCAGCAGGCCCUGUCUGAGGAAUUCCCAGUCUUGCGGAAGAUGGAGUAUGCAUAUGUGAUUAAAUAAACGACCAAAAAUACCGAUAAUACGCAUAGAAUCGUCUACUACAUUUGCCAUUGAACAUCGAAAGCGAAUAAUGCAUUCAAGUUCUAAACCAAAUCAUUACGUUUUCCAUGAGAAUAUAGAAUAAACAACCCCAAAUCAAUGAAAUUCAACAACAAAAAUAAAACUUUGACCCUAAUCAAUCAACGAACACAAUUUCUUCCUCAUAUAAUCACACCAAUAAUCAAAUCAAACAACGAAAUAAACAACCGAGAUUAAGGAAACAAACUUACAAUUAAUUUUUUUUUUCAAAUAAUCUAAACCAAAUCUACAAUCUCCUUCGAAAAUUCCCCUUCUUAAAUCUCAAUAUCAACACCUGAACGCCAACAGAAACCAAAAAAAAAAAAACAAUCAGAUAUACAUAAAAACGCAAAUUUGAAUCAGCAAAAUCCACAUAAUCGACAACCGAAGGCGAGUGAUGGAAACUAAUCGUACCUGAAGAUUUGAAAACCGGGACGAAGGAGGCGAAGAUCUUAAGGAAUCGGCGAAAUGCAAACCCUAAUUAUACCGCACAGAAAACCUAAAAAUGACUGAGGUCACGAAAAUUUUGGGAGCUGAAAAACCGGUGCUUCGUUGUUUUCGUGAAGGUUGAUGAAGCCCAAGGGAGCGUUGCGUUAUAUAGUCAGAGAGUGCCGUGUUUGCCACGGGAUUUCCCCUUAUUUACGGUCAUGCCACCCUGUCUAUCCGCUUCAUGUGGAUUUGCUCACAAAACUCGCAACCACCCGUGAUUUUAUCAUUCGGACGAUUCUGCCCUUCCUUGUUUGCGUGGAUAGGGAAGCCUGCGCUGUACAAGGCGGGCCAGGGUCGCAUAGGAGAGAUUUUUCAGUAUGAUCAUCAUAUGAGGUAGUACACCAUAUGUUUUUAUAUAAAUAGUAGAUUAUGUGUGCUAAAAGAUUAAUAAUUUAAAAAUUAAAUUUUUUUAUCAUUUAUAUAAAAACCCGUGAUUUAUCAUCCGUGUUCCGUAACUAAAAAUUUAUCGUGGUUAGUCUCGGAAUCAAUGUUUUGAAAAGACUGCGAUGCGAAAGCGAAACGACGGCGCGAAGAGGUUCGGGAAUUUUGAAGGCGGUGAUUGGCUGCGGACGAAUGCGAGUCGUCGCGACACGUGGUGAAAGGAUAAGAAGGCGUGGUUGUGAAUUGGCUCCACGUAGUGAGAGGGACCAGUGUGAUUGCUGUGGAGCUGGUUAUUUUUGUAGUUUUCUUUCUCGAUCAUUUCCGCGCUUUGUCUUGUAUGG
This 15799-nucleotide long non-coding RNA is filed under the name Malus domestica (apple). RNAcentral's name for it is "long non-coding RNA (MDOM_LNC017221)". Lineage: Eukaryota; Viridiplantae; Streptophyta; Magnoliopsida; Rosales; Rosaceae. The record is from RNAcentral.